Molecule: non-coding RNA, 183 nt
Filed under: Clostridium sp. ZS2-4
Lineage: Bacteria; Bacillati; Bacillota; Clostridia; Eubacteriales; Clostridiaceae
Description: 6S RNA
Rfam family: 6S / SsrS RNA
About the family: E. coli 6S RNA was the first non coding RNA to be sequenced, but its function was unknown until recently. It consists of 184 nucleotides that fold into an extended hairpin structure with a large single-stranded internal bulge. The 6S RNA specifically associates with RNA polymerase holoenzyme containing the sigma70 specificity factor.
Source: RNAcentral
AUAAACCUGCUGUAUUAGUGAAGUAAGUAGAUAUUGACCCAACACUAUUUUAAAAGGGAAUUUAGCUCUUUUUGUGGAAUGAAACUUUAAUAAAAGUAUUAAAGAACAAGAAGCAAAAAGGUAAUGCCCACCUGUAGAUAACAGGAUCAACUAUUACUUAUUUUGCGGUGCAGUGGGACUUUU